RNAcentral lists this ribosomal RNA (891 nucleotides) under uncultured bacterium. RNAcentral describes it as "bacterial SSU rRNA". It matches the Rfam family "Bacterial small subunit ribosomal RNA", at positions 25 to 894 of the family's 1533-position model. The record is from RNAcentral.
CAGAAUGAACGCCGGCGGCGUGCUUAACACAUGCAAGUCGAACGAGAUCGGGGGGGCAACUCCCCGGUUGAGUGGCGGACGGGUGAGUAACACGUGGGUAACCUGCCCGGAAGUGUGGAAUACCUCGGGGAAACUCGAGCUAAUACCGCAUGACAUCUUUGGGACGAGAGUCCUGACGAUCAAAGCGGGGUCGCAAGACCUCGCGCUACCGGAUGGGCCCGCGCCCGAUUAGCUAGUUGGCGAGGUAACGGCUCACCAAGGCAACGAUCGGUAGCCGGCCUGAGAGGGUGAUCGGCCACACCGGAACUGAGACACGGUCCGGACUCCUACGGGAGGCAGCAGUGGGGAAUCUUGCGCAAUGGGCGAAAGCCUGACGCAGCAACGCCGCGUGGAGGAUGAAGGCCCUUGGGUUGUAAACUCCUGUCGGCUGGGAAGAAAUCGUUCGGGGCUAAUACCUCCGGACGUUGACUGUACCAGCAAAGGAAGCCCCGGCUAACUCUGUGCCAGCAGCCGCGGUAAUACAGAGGGGGCCAGCGUUAUUCGGAAUUAUUGGGCGUAAAGGGCGCGUAGGCGGCCACGCGUGUCUUUCGUGAAAUCCCUCGGCUUAACUGAGGACGUGCGGAAGAAACUGCGAGGCUCGAGUCCGGGAGAGGGGGGUGGAAUUCCCAGUGUAGCGGUGAAAUGCGUAGAUAUUGGGAGGAACACCGGUGGCGAAGGCGGCCCCCUGGACCGGUACUGACGCUGAGGCGCGAAAGCGUGGGGAGCAAACGGGAUUAGAUACCCCGGUAGUCCACGCCGUAAACGAUGGGCACUUGGUGUCGCGGGUAUCGACCCCUGCGGUGCCGAAGCUAACGCAUUAAGUGCCCCGCCUGGGGAGUACGGUCGCAAGGC